Molecule: unclassified non-coding RNA, 218 nt
Filed under: uncultured Tomentella
Lineage: Eukaryota; Fungi; Basidiomycota; Agaricomycetes; Thelephorales; Thelephoraceae
Description: sequence contains ITS2
Source: RNAcentral
ACACCUCAACUCCUCAUGGUUUGCCAUGAUGAGCUUGUACUUUGGGGGUCUUGCUGGCCUAUGGUUGGCUCCUCUCAAACGGAUCAGCUUGCCAGUGUUUGGUGGCAUCACAGGUGUGAUAAAUAUCUACGCUUGUGGUUUACACCAUAUAGCCUUCAGCGAUGAAGGUUCUCUGGAGCUCACAAAUGUCCCUCCUCGGCGAGGACAGCUCUUUGAAC